Molecule: transfer RNA, 77 nt
Filed under: Candidatus Nomurabacteria bacterium
Lineage: Bacteria; Candidatus Nomuraibacteriota
Also listed under: 1 other name
Description: tRNA-Trp
Rfam family: tRNA
About the family: Transfer RNA (tRNA) molecules are approximately 80 nucleotides in length.
Source: RNAcentral
AGGGGUGUAGCUCAGUUGGCUAGAGCACCGGUCUCCAAAACCGGGUGUCGUAGGUUCGAGUCCUAUCACCCCUGCCA